AUAACCUAAGUUAUGAUUUCGUUUUGGAAGAAUCAAGCAUUAGAAAAUACAUCUGAGAUCUUAAAACAACCACUUUUGCUAAUUGUCAACAUAUGAAAUUGCAUUUCAUUUACAUUACAAACGCGUGUAUAUUUUUAAUUAAACGUCUGCCUAUCUCAUCACCAAUAAAAAAACAUACUAAUCAAGGUCUACACUGAAAUUGUUUGUCUACAAAAGACGCAAACCAAAAGUGUUUCAAAUUGUAAUUAGUAAAUAGUAAAUCAUGCAAGGAAACGGUGUUAAAAUAAUUACGAUUACGAAGAUUUGAAGACCUUCGAUUUCUAAAGGAAAUCAGAUAUUAUUCCUAUGAAUAUGAUCAUUUGAACAUUUUCAAAAUUUAACAGGUUAUGAGGUUUACUGUUUGUGAUACUUUAUAGAAAUAAAGGAUGUACCUUGGAGAUAAAGAUAACUAUUUGUAUUGUAAUUAUCUAUAGUACUAAUCUCUUUAGGUUUAGGAAAUCCUCUUUGUAUAUAAACACUAUCUCGUACAUGAAUAAAGGACACAAUUUACCUUCUAUUUUAUGGUAUCAGAGCUAAGACACGACCCUUGAUCUUUCUCUGCUUCCUUGCUUACUAAAUACUACUAUAUCAAAAAUCGAGUUGAUCAUCAUCUAUGACUUCAACAUCGAGUUCUUCUAAUUCUUCUACUAUGGAGAGUUCUACAUCAGACUCUCAUUACGUCCUGCACCACUCUGACAAUCCUGGUGCCCUAAUUACACCGGUGCUUCUCCAAGGAGAUAAUUACUCUGAGUGGGCAACAGAGCUUUGGAACUCUCUCCAAGCCAAACAAAAGAUCGGGUUUAUCGAUGGCUCAAUUAUUAAGCCGACGUCUAACCCUGAUCUUGCCCUCUGGACCUCUACAAACUCAAUGAUAGUUGGCUGGAUCCGUACGUCAAUCGAUCCCCAAGUUCAUUCAACUGUGUCUCACGUUGCAGAUGGUUCGAAGCUUUGGGAUUCUCUCAAACAACGUUUCUCAGUCAAGAAUGCCGUCCGCAAGCAUCUCCUUGAGGAUGAAAUAACUAAUUGCAAACCGAAUGGUCAAUCUGUUCUUGAAUACUACGGCCGUCUUUCUAAGCUAUGGGAAUAAAUUCAGAACUUCAAGCCUUCCAUGUCCUAUAUGUGUGCUGCUGCUGCAUAUCUUGAAAAAGAACGAGAAGAUGCUAAAAUUCACAAGUUUCUUUUCGGUCUCGAUGAAGUGAGAUUCAACGCUAUACAAUCUCAAAUCAUUGACGAAGACCCUCUUCCUGAUCUAAACAUCGUCACUACAAGAAAACAUGCAUGUUGCGAGGGAAAUUUGCGAGAGAAAAUGUUCCAUGCAAAUUCGCGACAGUUUUGCAACGGAAUUGCAAGAAAAAAAAAAUUAAACUCUCGUAAAUCUCUCGCAAACUUGCGAGAGAAUAUAUUCCCUCGCAAAUUUGCGAGAGACUUGCGAGGGAAUAUAUUCUUUCACAAAUUUGCGAGAGAUUUUGCAAGGGAAGUUACAGAGUCCUCGCAAAUUCCUUGCAAAUUUGCGAGAAAAAUUUCUCUCGCAAAUUUGCAAGAGAUUUGCAAGAAUUUUGUCUGACUAUCUUGUUUCUUCACAAUUCCCUCGCAAAUUUGCAAUGGAUUUGCAAAGAAGAUGCAUGAUAUGUACAUUUUGACAUUUCUAUCACAAAAUCAAAUAAAAUUAUAAAUAAAAAAAUUAAUUAAAAUAUUUAGUGUUUAACAAGUACAUCAAUAUAUUCGCUGGAUAAAUAUUUUCCAACACCUGAACUAAUAUUAUGAAGUACUAAACAUCAAAACUCUAUAAUUUAUACAAUAAAUACACAUCAACUAAAUUUCUAAAAAAAUUGAAACAAAUUUUCACGUUAAUUAUAUUUUCAAACAAUAAAUAAAAAAUACAUAUAAAUUCAACAAAAAUAUACCAAACACCCAAACAAAACCCUAAAAUGAUUGACUUAUGAAUUUGCAAGGAAUUUGCAAAGGAUCCCUCGCAAUUCUCUUGCAAAUUUGCGAGAGUACCUAAGCACUCGCAAAUUAGCAAGGGAUUUGCAAUGGAUUCCUCACAAAUCCAAUGCAAAGUUGCGAGAGAUUCAAUUUCCCUUGCAAAUUUGCAAGGGAUUUGCAAGAGACUCGUUGCAAUUUCCUUGCAAAUCCAUUUUUCCAAACUUAAAUGGUUUGGGUUUCAUCAAGGAUUUUGGUGUAGGAUAACACAUUUUAUUGAAUCAUUUAGUGUUUUAAAUAUUAGUCAAAAAACAUUUUCAGAAAUUUAAUUAACCAUAGUUAAGAACUUAAGUCCCAACACUUAAUUUGUUAUUGCAAGUAAGUAACAUCAAACCCUUAUGACGUAUAUAACUCAUAUACGUCAACUAAAUUUCCGGAAAAUGUUAAGCAUACUUUCACAUUAAUUAUUUGUUUUGAAUCGAAUCACUAACUAGUAAAUACAUUUAGUCUACCAAAAACAUAAGAAAACCUCAAACGAAACCCUAAAAUACACUAUUUAUGAAUUUGCAAGGGAAUCCUUGCAAUUCCAAUUCCCUUGCAAAUCGCAAAUUUGUGAGAGAAUUGUGAGGAAUCCAUUGCAUUUCCCUUGCAAAUUCAUUUUUUCCAACUCAAAAUGAAAAUUCCAAAACUAGUGAUGAUUUAAACUCUAAUACAAUCAACUUUAUAAUGUUUGAAAACUUAAACUCUUAAUCUUAAAUAAAAACUUAUAAAACUAAAUGUUUGAUUAAAACUUAAUCUCAAACUAUAUAUCUAUUUCCAAACUUUAACCAUAAACCCUAAAACACAUUUAUCCCAAACACUAUAUCUCAAAUUUAAUCACCAAAAUCCGAACACCAACUUUAAUCUUUUAAAAUUUAAACACCAAAACUUUAACAUAACUAAUAAUCAAGAAAAUUCAAAUAAUAUCCUAAAAUUUUACUUUAAACCCCAAACCUAAUACUCCAAAUAAUAUUUAAUCAUAAACAUUAACCUUAUAUUUAAAAUUUUAAUAUAUUAAUAUAACCUAAAAUUUAAAGGUUGAACUCAAAUUUUCAUAUUUUAAAAUUUUAAUUUCAUAUCUUAAAUCCAAACCACAAACUCCAAAUAUAAACCAUACCCAAAUCAUAUAUCCUAAACUCAAAUUAAAAAAUAAAAUCUUGUCACUUUUGUUAAUGUGAUAUAUCAUUAACAUUAUAAAAUUUAUAACUGUUAUAUAAAUAAAAUUAGUUAAACAAUAAAAUUACAAUUUCUAAAAUAAUUAUUAAACAAAAACACAGUUUGUAGUUCGAUAAUCUCUGACUAUUGAUAACUUUUGAUCCAAUGGCAUUAAAUCAAUCUUUUGUUAAUCUUCGUCACUGUUUUUCAUUGGUUCACAUUGUAAAAGGUGGAUCACUCAUUAUUAAUCUCAGUCGUUGACAAGUGUCAAUCUAAAGGAAGGAAUUAAUGUAUUUGAUUUAAUAUUUUCUUUUUCUUUUUCUUCCUUCUCGUCCCGGUCGAGACUUCAUGCUUCCUCUUCUCCUCUCUCCUCUCUCAUCAUCUCUUCUAUUUCUCUUCUUCUCAUCUCCUCAAUGAAAAAAAGACAGAGCAAGCAUCAACAAUCGUUGGUGAGAUUUAUGUAUUUUGUUUCUUCUCUUACACUCCUCUGUUUUAAAAUCUAUUAAGGCUGGGGGGCUUAUUGGAUUUAGGUUUUCAAAAGUUUUUUGGGAUUUUAGAUCUGAUAGAAUUUAGAUGGGAUUUAAAGAUUUUGGUGGGGUUUCGGAGAUUUUGGUGGGAAUUUAAAUAGGUGAUUUUGGUAGAAUUUAAAAAUAAAAUAACAAAACAAUAUAAACUUUCCAAACUGUCGUCUUGUGUUCAUACUGAUUUAUUGUAACAGUACACAGGGAGAACCCAAUGAAAUCGAGCGUCACUCUCUACCUCUAUAGUUUUUUUAUGGUUUCACAAUGGUCCUCCAUGCUCAAUAACAUAAACAUGUCCAAUAGACUCCAACUGUGAUAUGAUCAAUAGACUCGAGCCUCACUCUCUACUUUAUUUACACUCUUCUUUUCCUCUGUGCUAUGAUCAAUAGACUCCGACUGAUUCCUGAGCUUUUUAUUAUCCUCAAGCAGCCUAUCAAUCUCCAUAAGAGAAAUAGAACAACCCUGAAUUAUAUAAUAUGACCAGUAACCAAGAAAGAAUCUAACCUUAAAGCAAAACAGAAGGUUAGUGAGGCAAUGAAAUGAAAUGUGAAGGUAAAAGUGAGAUAAUACUCCAACUGUAUAUCUACAUAUGGUUCGUUAAUUUACAUAUAUGUUUGCAAACAGUGGAUGAACAGCUGUGUAGAGCCUACAAUUGAUGACUACCAAAAAACUCAACAUGAAGACAUUGCAUACUAUCGACACUGUUCAGUGAAACUUCUAAAUAGAGUUGGCCUCAAGGUUAGCUAGUUUAGACUUGGGUGUUACAUGGAUGUGUACACAACGUAUCAGAGUGAGAUGUGCCUUCAUUUUUUUUUUCUGGUUGUAACUUUUAUGAAUACAAAACCCAAUUAGACUUUUAACAGACAUGAACCACUUGAUUCAUCGAGAAUCCGAGAUCGAAGUAUUCACCGGAAACUAUUAACGAAGAGGUCAGAAGUUAAGAUGAUUGGUUUAUAAUUAAAAUAUUAAUACAGUUUCCGAAGUGACGAACCCAAUUAUCCUAUUUUGACUUCAUCUUUAUGGUCUACUCGAUCCAACUCUUUGAACUCGUCGGAUUCUUCUCCGACCAUAUUCUACUCCUUUUCAAGACAAUUCCCUUUUAGAUUUACAGGAGCUUCUUCCAGGUGAAAUCUUCUCUUUCCGAUCGGCACAAAGCAGAUAACACUAGGAGGAGCCGACUAAAAAUUCCAGCAGCUUUUUAAUCGCCAUACCAGCAAUUCCAACUGAUCUGAGAAAGUGGUGAUGUGAUGAGUCGGCAGUGGUGGCGUGACGAAUCAGUGGUCGCCGGUGGCGAGCAUGGAGGAGCGGUGGCGGAACGUGGAUGACGAGGCAGAAAAUCUUAAUGGCGGAGGAGGCAGAAAAGCUUCACGGUGGAGGCGGACGCGGACAAGACAAGGCGUGGUCACGUAGGGUUGGUGGUGUUAGACAGAGAAGUCGCUGGAGUACUGGUGGCGUUUGCCGGAGACGUCAAAGGAGGUGGAGGCGGAGACGGAGGCGUGAGUAGUUAGGGCUUUAGGUUUAGGUGUGAACUGUAUAAUUUUUUAAUUAGGUUAAUUGUUUAAAACUACUUUGAUUUGUAAUCCAAAUUCAAUUAUUUUGUAAAUAAAAAUUAAUAAAUUAUAUAUUUUAAUUGCAUUUUGUGA
This is a long non-coding RNA of Brassica napus (rape), 5320 nucleotides long. RefSeq lists it as uncharacterized. NCBI's taxonomy places the organism in Eukaryota, Viridiplantae, Streptophyta, Magnoliopsida, Brassicales, Brassicaceae. The transcript is spliced from 2 exons. The record is from RefSeq and is a predicted model, not a curated record.